UAGACUCAGUGAAAAAAUGCG
Molecule: non-coding RNA, 21 nt
Filed under: Caenorhabditis elegans
Lineage: Eukaryota; Metazoa; Nematoda; Chromadorea; Rhabditida; Rhabditidae
Source: RNAcentral